This 486-nucleotide ribosomal RNA is filed under the name uncultured bacterium. RNAcentral describes it as "partial 16S ribosomal RNA". It matches the Rfam family "Bacterial small subunit ribosomal RNA", at positions 28 to 507 of the family's 1533-position model. The record is from RNAcentral.
GAUGAACGCUAGCGGCAGGCUUAACACAUGCAAGUCGAGGGGCAGCGCGGGAUAGCAAUAUCCUGGCGGCGACCGGCGGAAGGGUGCGUAACGCGUGAGCGACAUGCCCGUUGCCCGGGGACAACCGGUGGAAACGCCGACUAAUCCCCGAUGGGAUAUUGUGCCGCAUGGCACGAUAUUGAAAGUUACGGCGGCGACGGAUUGGCUCGCGUCCGAUUAGCUGGUUGGCGGGGUAACGGCCCACCAAGGCUGCGAUCGGUAGGGGUUCUGAGAGGGAGGCCCCCCACAAUGGGACUGAGACACGGCCCAUACUCCUACGGGGGGCAGCAGUGAGGAAUAUUGGUCAAUGGGCGGAAGCCUGAACCAGCCAUGCCGCGUGCGGGAAGGAGGCCCUAUGGGCUGUGAACCGCUUUUGCCUGGGGGCAAUAAGGGCGUCGCGCACGUCCGAUGAGAGUACCAGGCGAAUAAGCAUCGGCUAACUCCGUG